AUUGAACGCUGGCGGCAUGCCUUACACAUGCAAGUCGAACGGCAGCACGGGUGCUUGCACCUGGUGGCGAGUGGCGAACGGGUGAGUAAUACAUCGGAACAUGUCCUGUAGUGGGGGAUAGCCCGGCGAAAGCCGGAUUAAUACCGCAUACGAUCUACGGAGGAAAGCGGGGGACCUUCGGGCCUCGCGCUAUAGGGUUGGCCGAUGGCUGAUUAGCUAGUUGGUGGGGUAAAGGCCAACCAAGGCGACGAUCAGUAGCUGGUCUGAGAGGACGACCAGCCACACUGGGACUGAGACACGGCCCAGACUCCUACGGGAGGCAGCAGUGGGGAAUUUUGGACAAUGGGCGAAAGCCUGAUCCAGCAAUGCCGCGUGUGUGAAGAAGGCCUUCGGGUUGUAAAGCACUUUUGUCCGGAAAGAAAUCCUUGGCCCUAAUACGGUCGGGGGAUGACGGUACCGGAAGAAUAAGCACCGGCUAACUACGUG
Molecule: ribosomal RNA, 486 nt
Filed under: uncultured bacterium
Lineage: Bacteria
Description: partial 16S ribosomal RNA
Rfam family: Bacterial small subunit ribosomal RNA
Source: RNAcentral